UAGGGAAUCUUCCGCAAUGGCCGCAAGUCUGACGGAGCAACGCCGCGUGAGUGAAGAAGGAUUUCGGUUCGUAAAACUCUGUUGUUAGAGAAGAACAGCGCAUAGAGUAACUGUUAUGCGUGUGACGGUAUCUAACCAGAAAGCCACGGCUAACUACGUGCCAGCAGCCGCGGUAAUACGUAGGUGGCAAGCGUUGUCCGGAUUUAUUGGGCGUAAAGCGAGCGCAGGCGGUCAAUUAAGUCUGAUGUGAAAGCCCCCGGCUCAACCGGGGAGGGUCAUUGGAAACUGGUUGACUUGAGUGCAGAAGAGGAGAGUGGAAUUCCAUGUGUAGCGGUGAAAUGCGUAGAUAUAUGGAGGAACACCAGUGGCGAAGGCGACUCUCUGGUCUGUAACUGACGCUGAGGCUCGAAAGCGUGGGUAGCAAACAGG
This 429-nucleotide ribosomal RNA is filed under the name Bacteroidota bacterium. RNAcentral's name for it is "Bacteroidetes bacterium partial 16S ribosomal RNA". It matches the Rfam family "Bacterial small subunit ribosomal RNA", at positions 355 to 776 of the family's 1533-position model. The record is from RNAcentral. Lineage: Bacteria; Pseudomonadati; Bacteroidota.